This 386-nucleotide ribosomal RNA is filed under the name uncultured bacterium. RNAcentral describes it as "bacterial SSU rRNA". It matches the Rfam family "Bacterial small subunit ribosomal RNA", at positions 774 to 1162 of the family's 1533-position model. The record is from RNAcentral.
AGUGAAUAGAUACCCGGGUAGUCCACGCCCUAAACGAUGUCUACUAGUUGUCGGGGAUUCAUUUCCUUGGUAAACGCAGCUAAACGCGUGAAAUAGACCGCCUGGGGAGUACGGCCGCAAGGUUAAAACUCAAAGGAAUUGACGGGGACCCGCACAAGCGGUGGAUGAUGUGGAUUAAUUCGAUGCAACGCGAAAAACCUUACCUACGCUUGACAUGCCAGGAACUUUCCAGAGAUGGAUUGGUGCCCGAAAGGGAACCUGGACACAGGUGCUGCAUGGCUGUCGUCAGCUCGUGUCGUGAGAUGUUGGGUUAAGUCCCGCAACGAGCGCAACCCUUAUCCUUAGUUGCUACGCAAGGGCACUCUAGGGAGACUGCCGGUGACAAA